AGGACGAACGCUGGCGGCGUGCCUAAUACAUGCAAGUCGAACGGUCUUUCUAUGGAAGCUUGCUUCCACUGAGAAGAUAGUGGCGAACGGGUGAGUAACACGUGGGUAACCUGCCCAUAAGAGGGGGAUAACAUCCGGAAACGGGUGCUAAUACCGCAUAGUUUUCUUGAUCGCAUGAUCGGGAAAGGAAAGACGGCCUUUGUGCUGUCGCUUAUGGAUGGACCCGCGGCGUAUUAGUUAGUUGGUGAGGUAACGGCUCACCAAGACGAUGAUACGUAGCCGACCUGAGAGGGUGAUCGGCCACAUUGGGACUGAGACACGGCUCAAACUCCUACGGGAGGCAGCAGUAGGGAAUCUUCCGCAAUGGACGAAAGUCUGACGGAGCAACGCCGCGUGAGUGAAAGAAGGUUUUCGGAUCGUAAAACUCUGUUGUCAGAGAAGAACAAGUUGGAGAGUAACUGCUCCAGCCUUGACGGUAUCUGACCAGAAAGCCACGGCUAACUACGUGCCAGCCGCGGC
This 519-nucleotide ribosomal RNA is filed under the name uncultured bacterium. Its description in RNAcentral is "bacterial SSU rRNA". It matches the Rfam family "Bacterial small subunit ribosomal RNA", at positions 26 to 518 of the family's 1533-position model. The record is from RNAcentral.